UUUUAUGGAGAGUUUGAUCCUGGCUCAGGAUGAACGCUGGCGGCGUGCCUAAUACAUGCAAGUCGAGCGAACGGACGAGAAGCUUGCUUCUCUGAUGUUAGCGGCGGACGGGUGAGUAACACGUGGAUAACCUACCUAUAAGACUGGGAUAACUUCGGGAAACCGUAGCUAAUACCGGAUAAUAUUUUGAACCGCAUGGUUCAAAAGUGAAAGACGGUCUUGCUGUCACUUAUAGAUGGAUCCGCGCUGCAUUAGCUAGUUGGUAAGGUAACGGCUUACCAAGGCAACGAUGCAUAGCCGACCUGAGAGGGUGAUCGGCCACACUGGAACUGAGACACGGUCCAGACUCCUACGGGAGGCAGCAGUAGGGAAUCUUCCGCAAUGGGCGAAAGCCUGACGGAGCAACGCCGCGUGAGUGAUGAAGGUCUUCGGAUCGUAAAACUCUGUUAUUAGGGAAGAACAUAUGUGUAAGUAACUGUGCACAUCUUGACGGUACCUAAUCAGAAAGCCACGGCUAACUACGUGCCAGCAGCCGCGGCAAUACGUAGGUGGCAAGCGUUAUCCGGAAUUAUUGGGCGUAAAGCGCGCGUAGGCGGUUUUUUAAGUCUGAUGUGAAAGCCCACGGCUCAACCGUGGAGGGUCAUUGGAAACUGGAAAACUUGAGUGCAGAAGAGGAAAGUGGAAUUCCAUGUGUAGCGGUGAAAUGCGCAGAGAUAUGGAGGAACACCAGUGGCGAAGGCGACUUUCUGGUCUGUAACUGACGCUGAUGUGCGAAAGCGUGGGGAUCAAACAGGAUUAGAUACCCUGGUAGUCCACGCCGUAAACGAUGAGUGCUAAGUGUUAGGGGGUUUCCGCCCCUUAGUGCUGCAGCUAACGCAUUAAGCACUCCGCCUGGGGAGUACGACCGCAAGGUUGAAACUCAAAGGAAUUGACGGGGACCCGCACAAGCGGUGGAGCAUGUGGUUUAAUUCGAAGCAACGCGAAGAACCUUACCAAAUCUUGACAUCCUUUGACAACUCUAGAGAUAGAGCCUUCCCCUUCGGGGGACAAAGUGACAGGUGGUGCAUGGUUGUCGUCAGCUCGUGUCGUGAGAUGUUGGGUUAAGUCCCGCAACGAGCGCAACCCUUAAGCUUAGUUGCCAUCAUUAAGUUGGGCACUCUAAGUUGACUGCCGGUGACAAACCGGAGGAAGGUGGGGAUGACGUCAAAUCAUCAUGCCCCUUAUGAUUUGGGCUACACACGUGCUACAAUGGACAAUACAAAGGGCAGCGAAACCGCGAGGUCAAGCAAAUCCCAUAAAGUUGUUCUCAGUUCGGAUUGUAGUCUGCAACUCGACUACAUGAAGCUGGAAUCGCUAGUAAUCGUAGAUCAGCAUGCUACGGUGAAUACGUUCCCGGGUCUUGUACACACCGCCCGUCACACCACGAGAGUUUGUAACACCCGAAGCCGGUGGAGUAACCUUUUAGGAGCUAGCCGUCGAAGGUGGGACAAAUGAUUGGGGUGAAGUCGUAACAAGGUAGCCGUAUCGGAAGGUGCGGCUGGAUCACCUCCUUUCUA
Molecule: ribosomal RNA, 1556 nt
Filed under: Staphylococcus aureus
Lineage: Bacteria; Bacillati; Bacillota; Bacilli; Caryophanales; Staphylococcaceae
Description: 16S ribosomal RNA
Rfam family: Bacterial small subunit ribosomal RNA
Source: RNAcentral